UACUCCUACCGGGAGGCAGCAGUGGGGAAUAUUGCGCAAUGGGCGAAAGCCUGACGCAGCGACGCCGCGUGGGGGAUGACGGCCUUCGGGUUGUAAACCUCUUUUACCACCAACGCAGGCUCCCAGUUCUCUGGGGGUUGACGGUAGGUGGGGAAUAAGGACCGGCUAACUACGUGCCAGCAGCCGCGGUAAUACGUAGGGUCCGAGCGUUGUCCGGAAUUAUUGGGCGUAAAGAGCUCGUAGGCGGCGUGUCGCGUCUGCUGUGAAAGACCGGGGCUUAACUCCGGUUCUGCAGUGGAUACGGGCAUGCUAGAGGUAGGUAGGGAGACGAUGCUUU
RNAcentral lists this ribosomal RNA (337 nucleotides) under bacterium. RNAcentral describes it as "bacterial SSU rRNA". It matches the Rfam family "Bacterial small subunit ribosomal RNA", at positions 334 to 668 of the family's 1533-position model. RNAcentral also lists the same sequence under 1 other name. The record is from RNAcentral.